AGAAUCAACGCUGGCGGCGUGCCUAACACAUGCAAGUCGAACGAGAAAGUGGGAGCAAUCCCACGAGUAAAGUGGCGCACGGGUGAGUAACACGUGACUAACCUACCCUUGAGUGGGGGAUAACCUAGGGAAAACCUGGGCUAAUACCGCAUAAUACCUUCGGGUCAAAGGAGCAAUUCGCUUAAGGAGGGGUCGCGGCCGAUUAGUUAGUUGGCGGGGUAAUGGCCCACCAAGACGAUGAUCGGUAUCCGG
This 252-nucleotide ribosomal RNA is filed under the name uncultured bacterium. RNAcentral's name for it is "partial small subunit ribosomal RNA". It matches the Rfam family "Bacterial small subunit ribosomal RNA", at positions 26 to 290 of the family's 1533-position model. The record is from RNAcentral.